UACGUAGGGUGCGAGCGUUGUCCGGAAUUACUGGGCGUAAAGAGCUCGUAGGUGGUUUGUCGCGUUGUCCGUGAAAACUCACAACUCAAUUGUGGGCGUGCGGGCGAUACGGGCAGACUGGAGUACUGCAGGGGAGACUGGAAUUCCUGGUGUAGCGGUGAAAUGCGCAGAUAUCAAGAGGAACACCGGUGGCGAAGGCGGGUCUCUGGGCCGAUACUGACGAUGAGGAGCGAAAGCGUGGGGAGCGAACAGG
This 253-nucleotide ribosomal RNA is filed under the name uncultured bacterium. Its description in RNAcentral is "partial 16S ribosomal RNA". It matches the Rfam family "Bacterial small subunit ribosomal RNA", at positions 524 to 776 of the family's 1533-position model. The record is from RNAcentral.